This 2893-nucleotide ribosomal RNA is filed under the name Enterobacter cloacae complex sp. RNAcentral's name for it is "bacterial LSU rRNA". It matches the Rfam family "Bacterial large subunit ribosomal RNA". Lineage: Bacteria; Pseudomonadati; Pseudomonadota; Gammaproteobacteria; Enterobacterales; Enterobacteriaceae. The record is from RNAcentral.
ACUAAGCGUACACGGUGGAUGCCCUGGCAGUCAGAGGCGAUGAAGGACGUGCUAAUCUGCGAAAAGCGACGGCGAGGUGAUAUGAACCUUUGACCCGUCGAUGUCCGAAUGGGGAAACCCAGUGCAAUCCGUUGCACUAUCGUUAACUGAAUACAUAGGUUAACGAGGCGAACCGGGGGAACUGAAACAUCUAAGUACCCCGAGGAAAAGAAAUCAACCGAGAUUCCCCCAGUAGCGGCGAGCGAACGGGGAGCAGCCCGGAGUCUGAAUCAGCUUGUGUGUUAGUGGAACGGUCUGGAAAGUCCGACGGUACAGGGUGAUAGUCCCGUACACGAAAACACACUUGUUGUGAACUCGAAGAGUAGGGCGGGACACGUGGUAUCCUGUCUGAAUAUGGGGGGACCAUCCUCCAAGGCUAAAUACUCCUGACUGACCGAUAGUGAACCAGUACCGUGAGGGAAAGGCGAAAAGAACCCCGGCGAGGGGAGUGAAAAAGAACCUGAAACCGUGUACGUACAAGCAGUGGGAGCCUCUUUAUGGGGUGACUGCGUACCUUUUGUAUAAUGGGUCAGCGACUUAUAUUCUGUAGCAAGGUUAACCGUAUAGGGGAGCCGAAGGGAAACCGAGUCUUAACUGGGCGUUAAGUUGCAGGGUAUAGACCCGAAACCCGGUGAUCUAGCCAUGGGCAGGUUGAAGGUUGGGUAACACUAACUGGAGGACCGAACCGACUAAUGUUGAAAAAUUAGCGGAUGACCUGUGGCUGGGGGUGAAAGGCCAAUCAAACCGGGAGAUAGCUGGUUCUCCCCGAAAGCUAUUUAGGUAGCGCCUCGUGAAUUCAUCUUCGGGGGUAGAGCACUGUUUCGGCUAGGGGGCCAUCCCGGCUUACCAACCCGAUGCAAACUACGAAUACCGAAGAAUGUUAUCACGGGAGACACACGGCGGGUGCUAACGUCCGUCGUGAAGAGGGAAACAACCCAGACCGCCAGCUAAGGUCCCAAAGUCAUGGUUAAGUGGGAAACGAUGUGGGAAGGCACAGACAGCCAGGAUGUUGGCUUAGAAGCAGCCAUCAUUUAAAGAAAGCGUAAUAGCUCACUGGUCGAGUCGGCCUGCGCGGAAGAUGUAACGGGGCUAAACCAUGCACCGAAGCUGCGGCAGCGACACUAUGUGUUGUUGGGUAGGGGAGCGUUCUGUAAGCCGUUGAAGGUGGCCUGUGAGGGUUGCUGGAGGUAUCAGAAGUGCGAAUGCUGACAUAAGUAACGAUAAAGCGGGUGAAAAGCCCGCUCGCCGGAAGACCAAGGGUUCCUGUCCAACGUUAAUCGGGGCAGGGUGAGUCGACCCCUAAGGCGAGGCCGAAAGGCGUAGUCGAUGGGAAACAGGUUAAUAUUCCUGUACUUGGUGUUACUGCGAAGGGGGGACGGAGAAGGCUAUGUCAGCCGGGCGACGGUUGUCCCGGUUUAAGCAUGUAGGCGGAGGUUCCAGGUAAAUCCGGUACCUUUUAACGCUGAGGUGUGAUGACGAGGCACUACGGUGCUGAAGUGAUAAAUGCCCUGCUUCCAGGAAAAGCCUCUAAGCAUCAGGUAACACGAAAUCGUACCCCAAACCGACACAGGUGGUCAGGUAGAGAAUACCAAGGCGCUUGAGAGAACUCGGGUGAAGGAACUAGGCAAAAUGGUGCCGUAACUUCGGGAGAAGGCACGCUGAUAUGUAGGUGAAGUCCCUGCGGACGGAGCUGAAAUCAGUCGAAGAUACCAGCUGGCUGCAACUGUUUAUUAAAAACACAGCACUGUGCAAACACGAAAGUGGACGUAUACGGUGUGACGCCUGCCCGGUGCCGGAAGGUUAAUUGAUGGGGUUAGCGGCAACGCGAAGCUCUUGAUCGAAGCCCCGGUAAACGGCGGCCGUAACUAUAACGGUCCUAAGGUAGCGAAAUUCCUUGUCGGGUAAGUUCCGACCUGCACGAAUGGCGUAAUGAUGGCCAGGCUGUCUCCACCCGAGACUCAGUGAAAUUGAACUCGCUGUGAAGAUGCAGUGUACCCGCGGCAAGACGGAAAGACCCCGUGAACCUUUACUAUAGCUUGACACUGAACACUGGUCCUUGAUGUGUAGGAUAGGUGGGAGGCUUUGAAGCGUGGACGCCAGUCUGCGUGGAGCCAACCUUGAAAUACCACCCUUUAAUGGCUGGUGUUCUAACGUAGACCCGUAAUCCGGGUUGCGGACAGUGUCUGGUGGGUAGUUUGACUGGGGCGGUCUCCUCCCAAAGAGUAACGGAGGAGCACGAAGGUUGGCUAAUCCUGGUCGGACAUCAGGAGGUUAGUGCAAUGGCAUAAGCCAGCUUGACUGCGAGCGUGACGGCGCGAGCAGGUGCGAAAGCAGGUCAUAGUGAUCCGGUGGUUCUGAAUGGAAGGGCCAUCGCUCAACGGAUAAAAGGUACUCCGGGGAUAACAGGCUGAUACCGCCCAAGAGUUCAUAUCGACGGCGGUGUUUGGCACCUCGAUGUCGGCUCAUCACAUCCUGGGGCUGAAGUAGGUCCCAAGGGUAUGGCUGUUCGCCAUUUAAAGUGGUACGCGAGCUGGGUUUAGAACGUCGUGAGACAGUUCGGUCCCUAUCUGCCGUGGGCGCUGGAGAAUUGAGGGGGGCUGCUCCUAGUACGAGAGGACCGGAGUGGACGCAUCACUGGUGUUCGGGUUGUCAUGCCAAUGGCACUGCCCGGUAGCUAAAUGCGGAAGAGAUAAGUGCUGAAAGCAUCUAAGCACGAAACUUGCCCCGAGAUGAGUUCUCCCUGAGACUUUAAGUCUCCUGAAGGAACGUUGAAGACGACGACGUUGAUAGGUCGGGUGUGUAAGCGCAGCGAUGCGUUGAGCUAACCGAUACUAAUGAACCGUGAGGCUUAACC